AUUAUACCGUGAAACUGCGAAUGGCUCAUUAAAUCAGUUAUCGUUUAUUUGAUAGUACCUUACCACUUGGAUAACCGUGGUAAUUCUAGAGCUAAUACAUGCUAAAAACCCCGACUUCGGAAGGGGUGUGUUUAUUAGAUAAAAAACCAAUGCCCUUCGGGGCUCUUUGGUGAUUCAUGAUAACCUAACGGAUCGCAUGGCCUUGCGCCGGCGACGGUUCAUUCAAAUUUCUGCCCUAUCAACUUUCGAUGGUAAGGUAUUGGCUUACCAUGGUUUCAACGGGUAACGGGGAAUUAGGGUUCGAUUCCGGAGAGGGAGCCUGAGAAACGGCUACCACAUCCAAGGAAGGCAGCAGGCGCGCAAAUUACCCAAUCCCGACACGGGGAGGUAGUGACAAUAAAUACUGAUACAGGGCUCUUUUGGGUCUUGUAAUUGGAAUGAGUACAAUUUAAACCCCUUAACGAGGAACAAUUGGAGGGCAAGUCUGGUGCCAGCAGCCGCGGUAAUUCCAGCUCCAAUAGCGUAUAUUAAAGUUGUUGCAGUUAAAAAGCUCGUAGUUGAAACUUGGGUCUGGCUAGCGGGUCCGCCUCACCGCGUGCACUUGUCCGGCUGGACCUUUCCUUCUGGAGAACCUCAUGCCCUUCACUGGGUGUGUUGGGGAACCAGGACUUUUACUUUGAAAAAAUUAGAGUGUUCAAAGCAGGCCUUUGCUCGAAUACGUUAGCAUGGAAUAAUAGAAUAGGACGUGCGGUCCUAUUUUGUUGGUUUCUAGGAUCGCCGUAAUGAUUAAUAGGGAUAGUCGGGGGCAUCAGUAUUCAAUUGUCAGAGGUGARAUUCUUGGAUUUAUUGAAGACUAACUACUGCGAAAGCAUUUGCCAAGGAUGUUUUCAUUAAUCAGUGAACGAAAGUUAGGGGAUCGAAGACGAUCAGAUACCGUCGUAGUCUUAACCGUAAACUAUGCCGACUAGGGAUCGGGCGAUGUUUCUAUCUUGACUCGCUCGGCACCUUACGAGAAAUCAAAGUUUU
RNAcentral lists this ribosomal RNA (1026 nucleotides) under Petrakia sp. Its description in RNAcentral is "SSU rRNA". It matches the Rfam family "Eukaryotic small subunit ribosomal RNA", at positions 73 to 1118 of the family's 1831-position model. Lineage: Eukaryota; Fungi; Ascomycota; Dothideomycetes; Pleosporales; Melanommataceae. The record is from RNAcentral.